UCUAGUUUUUUGUCCCUUAGACGUUUGUUUCCUCUCUAUUUAGCUGAAAUCAUAAUCUCUCUCAAAUCCUCUAAAAUUACUCGAUUCUAAACCCAAUAUCUCUCAAAUCGAUCAUCUUCCUUCCUUCUCCUCUAAAUUCUCUUUCCAAUUCCUCCACUUUCACAUCUGUUUUGCUGAGAAUGCUUCCCAAAUCGAUUGAAACCCUAAAUUUCUGUUCUAAGCUCUUUUUCGAUCUAAUCCCAAAUUCAAAACCCUAAUCUCUGUGAGAAACACUAAUCUCUGUGAGAAACACUAAUCUCUGAGUGCUGGCCGUGUAAGGAAGAAAGGAGGAGGAGGUGCGUCCGUCGCAACGAAGAGGACAUGCGGCGGUUCUCCUUCCGUCAUCAGAACUCCAUCGCCUCUACAACGUGUAGCUAUUCUCUCGACCGAGAUCGAGGAAGUGUCGUAACGCCAAGUGCAAAGGGUUGAAGAAGGCUAUGGAGUUUGAUUUGCAGCUGCAGACGGAGAAAACCAAUCGGGAUCAGCUAAGGAGAUUGAUUGGUUACUUUGGAAAGGAGGCAGCAAGAACAAUCCUGGUUACGAGUGUUUGAGAGCUGAGCUGAGGAGGAUGGCUCCACCUAAUGGUCGAGCUGUGUUGGGGGGAGAAGCCGGCGUCAUAAAAAUUCUUGGUCCUCACGUGCACUUAUCAGGGUUGAAGUUUUAUCAACAAAUCCAACAAGAAAUUGAAGAAGAAUGUGGUCUUGGUGAAGUUUUAUGUCUCUCAAACCAUAGGUCUCUCAUCUCUUUUAACCUCAUUUUGAACUUAUCUCCAAUGGUUGUAUAUGGUAACCAUUGAAGUUUCUUAGUUUUGUGAACAAUGUAUUACCUUUGUAAAUUAUUUGUUUCAUAUGCUUUUAAAAUUCGUAAUGAAUGUAUUUACAAUUUAGUUCAAUUAUUAACAAUUGAAUUCAAAUUACCAAAUUAGCAUUAUCAAUAGCAAUACAAAAUUCUAAUUCUAUUGAUAAUAAUAGUCGCAAUG
Molecule: long non-coding RNA, 1018 nt
Organism: Eutrema salsugineum
Lineage: Eukaryota; Viridiplantae; Streptophyta; Magnoliopsida; Brassicales; Brassicaceae
Exons: 4
Source: RefSeq, a predicted model, not a curated record